AAGAGAGAGAAAGUGGGAAGAGAAAGUUUAACCUUUUGCACUUUCUCCUACUCUUUCAAGUCGAGGAAAGAUCAACCAUUGUCUUUCCUUCUCUCCCUUUUCUCUCCUGGCUUCUUCCAUUCCAGUUCAAUCUGCAAAGGGGAGAGGGGAGAUCUGUUUGAUUCUCACGGAUCGCUGUGAAGCUCUUGCUUGAUAUUCGAUUUUGAUCGGUUACAAUAUAUUUGUCAUCUAGAAGAUUUGAUAUAGCCUUUGGAUUGUAUUCUGUUGGGUUUGGAUCCUUGAUCUCUGCGACAGAUGGAGGCGAUCGAGGAGUUAUCUCAGUUGGCUGAUUCCAUGCGCAAGGCGGCGGCUUUACUUGCUGACGAAGAUGUUGAUGAGCCCAGCUCUGCAUCUUCAAGAAGGCCGUCAACUUUUCUUAACGUCGUAACACUUGGAAAUGUCGGUGCUGGUAAAUCUGCUGUAUUGAACAGUUUGAUUGGACAUCCUGUUUUGCCUACUGGUGAAAAUGGAGUUACCCGGGCUCCUAUAAGCAUUGAUCUGCAGCGAGAUGGUUCUUUAAGCAGCAAAUCAAUUAUCUUGCAGAUUGAGAAUAAGUCCCAGCAAGUUUCUGCAAGUGCCUUGCGACAUUCAUUACAGGAUAGGUUGACUAAGGGUUCCUUAGGCGAGGGUCGAGAUGAAAUAUAUUUAAAGCUUCGCACAAGUACAGCACCACCUCUUAAGUUGGUUGAUCUUCCUGGGCUGGAUCAACGCAUCAUGAAUGAAUCUAUGGUUGGUGAAUAUGUGGAGCACAAUGAUGCCAUUGUGCUAGUCGUGGUACCUGCAGUUCAGGCACCUGAAAUUGCUUCAUCUCGAGCCUUAAGAACUGCAAAGGAAUAUGAUGGAGAAGGUACCCGAACCAUUGGUGUUAUUAGUAAAAUAGAUCAAGUUGCAUCAGAUCAAAAGUCUUUGGCAGCAGUUCAAGCACUUCUUUCGAAUCAGGGCCCUGCAAGAGCAUCAGAUAUUCCAUGGGUUGCUUUAAUUGGUCAAUCUGUUUCAAUAGCUACAGCACAAACUGGAUCUAAUGGUUCUGAAAAUUCUCUGGAAACUGCAUGGAGAGCAGAGAGUGAAAGUCUCAGAUCCAUUUUGACUGGAGCUCCUCAAAUUAAGCUUGGACGGAUAGCUUUGGUUGAUGCUCUAGCACAGCAAAUCCGAAAUCGGAUGAAACUCAGGCUGCCUAACCUUCUUUCUGGGUUACAAGGGAAAUCUCAGAUAGUUCAGGAUGAACUAAUGAGGCUUGGGGAGCAAAUGGUUACAACUGCAGAGGGUACACGAGCUAUAGCCUUGGAACUUUGCCGUGAGUAUGAAGAUAGGUUCCUCCAACACAUCACCACUGGUGAGGGUGCUGGUUGGAAAAUAGUUGCCAGUUUUGAUGGAAAUUUCCCUAAUAGAAUCAAGCAAUUGCCUAUUGAUAGGCACUUUGACAUCAGCAAUGUAAAGAGGAUUGUUUUAGAGGCUGAUGGUUAUCAACCAUAUCUUAUUUCCCCUGAAAAGGGUUUGAGAUCUCUCAUUAAAGGUGUUCUAGAGCUUGCAAAAGAACCAUCACGUCUUUGCGUUGAUGAGGUACAUCGGGUCCUAAUAGACAUAGUCUCAGCUGCUGCCAAUGCUACGCCGGGUCUUGCAAGGUACCCGGCUUUCAAGAGAGAGGUUGUGGCCAUUGCAACAACGGCGUUGGAAGGGUUUAAGAAUGAAGCAAAGAAAAUGGUUGUUGCCCUAGUUGAUAUGGAGCGAGCCUUUGUGCCACCUCAGCACUUUAUUCGUUUGGUACAAAGAAGAAUGGAAAGGCAACGUCGAGAAGAUGAACUGAAAAAUCGAUCUUCAAGAAAAGGGCAAGAUGCAGAGCAAUCUAUACUUAACCGGGCAACUAGCCCUCAAACGGGUGGAAGCAUGAAAUCAAUGAAAGACGAAAAGGAAAAGGAAAAGGACAAAUCAGGUCAGUCAGAGAAAGAAGGGAAAGAAGGUUCUGGUUUAAAAACUGCGGGUCCUGAAGGAGAAAUAACAGCAGGAUUUUUGUUGAAGAAAAGCACAAAAACCAAUGGUUGGACCAGACGAUGGUUUGUUCUAAAUGGGAAGACAGGAAAGCUUGGUUACACAAAAAAGCAAGAAGAAAGACUUUUUCGUGGUGUUAUUACAUUAGAGGAAUGCAACAUUGAAGAGGUUUCAGAUGAAGAGGAUCCUCCACCAAAAAGCUCAAAGGAUAAGAAGUCCAAUGGACCUGAUUCUGGGAAACCUAAACUUGUUUUCAAGAUCACGAGUAGAAUUCCAUAUAAAACUGUUUUGAAAGCGCACAGCGCUGUUCUUUUGAAGGCUGAGAAUGCAGCUGAUAAGGUUGAAUGGAUUAAUAAGAUAAGUAAUAUUAUACAAGCAAGAGGAGGGCAAAUAGCUGUUUCAUCUAAUGGUGGCCCUAUGACGAGACAGGGUCUCUCUGAUGGUUCCUUGGAUACAAUGGCACAGAGGCCAGCAGAUCCCGAAGAAGAACUACGAUGGAUGUCCCAAGAAGUCCGUGGUUAUGUUGAAGCUGUUUUGAACAGUUUAGCUGCUAAUGUACCAAAGGCGGUUGUCCUUUGCCAAGUUGAAAAAGCUAAGGAAGACAUGCUGAAUCAAUUAUAUAGUUCUGUCAGUUCUCAAAGCACAGCUAGGAUUGAGCAGCUGAUACAAGAAGAUCAGAAUGUGAAGCGAAGGAGGGAACGUUACCAAAAGCAAUCCUCACUUCUCUCAAAACUGACUCGUCAACUGAGUAUUCAUGACAAUAGUCCAGCUGCUGCCUCUAGCUGGUCAAACGGUGGUAUUGAAGAUAGUAGCAGUCCAAGAAGUAACGGUCCAGGUGAUGAUUGGAGAACUGCCUUUGAUGCGGGUGCUAAUGGCCCCAGUAGUCGUACCAGUUCAUUGAGAUCUAGAUCAAAUGGUCACUAUCGACCUAACGGUGACAUACUACAAAAUGGUGAUAUGAACUAUGGCUCAAACUCUGGUAGUCGUCGUACUCCUAACCGAUUACCCCCAGCCCCACCUGCUUCUUCAGGUUACAGAUUCUAGCUGUUGGUUGGCUGGCUUGCUGGCUAUCCAUCUUAAUCUUUUGAAGUGAGAUUUUGCUAAAGUGAAGAGAGAGAGAGAUAGAGGUGGGAUCGACCUCUAUCAUUGUGAGUCUUAUAGAAGUGAAUCUUGCCUCUUUUUCUCUUUUUUUCUCUUCACUUCAUCUUGAAGAGAUAACCAUUCAUGACUUAAUGGCAUUUAGUGAGGGUGGCUGGCAACUCUUGCUUGAGAUUAUACAUAGGGGGAGGGAGGAUUUUAGUCUUAUUGAUUCUUUGUUUUUGGCAGGGUAUACUUAGUGAUGCGAGAUGUUUGUGUACAUAGAAGACCAUAGUAUAUACAAUACACGGCUUUUCGGGCUUGUCCCAGUAUCAUGUAGACAAGACCAAGAUGAGCUUGAAUUCAUAGUUGUAUGGUAAUAUAAUGAAAGGAGGCAAACAAAAUUAAGACUCCCAAUUCUAACUGAGUUAUGCCGAGCGGGCACUUGGCGUGAGAGUGAGUCAGUUCAUUCAUGUUUCGUUUGAUAUUCGAUCGAUUCCGGCUAAUUUUGUAAAUAUAAACACUGAAUAUUAGUUAUACGGUUAUUGGUGGGGAUAUAAUGAUGAGACUUAGGUGUUUCUGAUAUUUAAAAUUAUA
Neltuma alba is the source of this 3699-nucleotide RNA transcript. It is a transcript of the gene named dynamin-2B, with no coding region annotated. The record is from RefSeq and is a predicted model, not a curated record. The transcript is spliced from 23 exons. Lineage: Eukaryota; Viridiplantae; Streptophyta; Magnoliopsida; Fabales; Fabaceae.